CGCACAUUGCGCCCCUUGGUAUUCCGGGGGGCAUGCCUGUUCGAGCGUCAUUUCAACCCUCCAGCCUCGCUGGGUCUUGGGACUCGCUAACCGCGGUCCUUAAAAUCAGUGGCGGUGCCUGUCGGCUCUACGUGUAGUAAAUCACCUCGCGUCUGGGUCCGGCUGGUGCUUGCCAGUAACCACAAUUUUUUUCAGGUUGACCUCGGAUCAGGUAGGGAUACCCGCUGAACUUAA
Molecule: unclassified non-coding RNA, 234 nt
Filed under: fungal sp.
Lineage: Eukaryota; Fungi
Description: partial contains 5.8S ribosomal RNA, internal transcribed spacer 2, and large subunit ribosomal RNA
Source: RNAcentral